Anoplophora glabripennis (Asian longhorned beetle) is the source of this 118-nucleotide small nuclear RNA. RefSeq annotates it as U4atac minor spliceosomal RNA. The record is from RefSeq and is a predicted model, not a curated record. The transcript has a single exon. Lineage: Eukaryota; Metazoa; Arthropoda; Insecta; Coleoptera; Cerambycidae.
UCCUUCCUUGUCUAGGGGAGCUGAGUGUGUCGAUGAUCGUCUAGUGAGACCACUUCUGCUGAUACCCUUUAAAUAUUUACCCGCACCCACAAAUUCUGUGAGUGCAAUUUUUGGAAGU